GUCCCUGUAGCGCAAUGGAUAGCGCGUUGACUUCUAAUCUAAAGGCCGUGGUUUUCGAACCCCACCUGGGAUG
This 73-nucleotide transfer RNA is filed under the name Trichonephila inaurata madagascariensis. It matches the Rfam family "tRNA". Rfam says of the family: Transfer RNA (tRNA) molecules are approximately 80 nucleotides in length. Their secondary structure includes four short double-helical elements and three loops (D, anti-codon, and T loops). Lineage: Eukaryota; Metazoa; Arthropoda; Arachnida; Araneae; Nephilidae. The record is from Rfam by way of RNAcentral.